This 309-nucleotide ribosomal RNA is filed under the name uncultured bacterium. RNAcentral's name for it is "partial 16S ribosomal RNA". It matches the Rfam family "Bacterial small subunit ribosomal RNA", at positions 504 to 807 of the family's 1533-position model. The record is from RNAcentral.
AGAGACAGCAGCCGCCGCGGUAAUACGGAGGGUGCAAGCGUUAAUCGGAAUUACUGGGCGUAAAGCGCACGCAGGCGGUCUGACAAGUCAGAUGUGAAAUCCCCGGGCUUAACCUGGGAACUGCAUUUGAAACUGUCAGGCUGGAGUCUUGUAGAGGGGGGUGGAAUUCCAGGUGUAGCGGUGAAAUGCGUAGAGAUCUGGAGGAAUACCGGUGGCGAAGGCGGCCCCCUGGACAAAGACUGACGCUCAGGUGCGAAAGCGUGGGGAGCAAACAGGAUUAGAUACCCGUGUAGUCCCUGUCUCUUAUAC